GGGUUGUGAGGUUAAGUGACUAAGCGUACACGGUGGAUGCCUAGGCAGUCAGAGGCGAUGAAGGGCGUGCUAAUCUGCGAAAAGCGUCGGUAAGGUGAUAUGAACCGUUACAACCGGCGAUACCCGAAUGGGGAAACCCAGUGUGUUUCGACACAUUAUCAUGUCAUGAAUACAUAGUGGCAUGAGGCGAACCGGGGGAACUGAAACAUCUAAGUACCCCGAGGAAAAGAAAUCAACCGAGAUUCCCCCAGUAGCGGCGAGCGAACGGGGAGGAGCCCAGAACCUGAAUCGGCUUGUGUGUUAGUGGAAGCGUCUGGAAAGUCGCG
Molecule: ribosomal RNA, 326 nt
Filed under: Serratia marcescens
Lineage: Bacteria; Pseudomonadati; Pseudomonadota; Gammaproteobacteria; Enterobacterales; Yersiniaceae
Description: bacterial LSU rRNA
Rfam family: Bacterial large subunit ribosomal RNA
Source: RNAcentral